RNAcentral lists this ribosomal RNA (469 nucleotides) under uncultured bacterium. RNAcentral's name for it is "partial 16S ribosomal RNA". It matches the Rfam family "Bacterial small subunit ribosomal RNA", at positions 28 to 507 of the family's 1533-position model. The record is from RNAcentral.
GACGAACGCUGGCGGCGUGCUUAACACAUGCGAGUCGAACGAUGAUCUCCCGCUUGCGGGGGUGAUUAGUGGCGAACGGGUGAGUAAUACGUGAGUACACUGCCCUUGACUCUGGGAUAAGCCUGGGAAACCGGGUCUAAUACUGGAUACUACUUCCUGCCGCAUGGUGGGGGGUGGAAAUGGUUUUACUGUUUGUGGUUGGGCUCACGGCCUAUCAGCUUGUUGGUGGGGGAAUGGCUAACCAAGCCGAGGACAGGUAGCCGGCCGGUGAGGGUGACCGGCGACACAGGGUCUGACACACGGCCCCGGCGCCUACUAUUGGCCGCAGUGCGCAAGCUUGAACCAUGGGUGCCGGCCGGAUGCAGCGACGCCGCGGGUUGGAUGACCGUCUUGGUGUUAUAGACCUGUUUCAGCAGGAAAGAAGCCACUAGUGACGGUACCUGCAGAAGAAGCACCGGCUAACUACGUG